Molecule: ribosomal RNA, 468 nt
Filed under: uncultured bacterium
Lineage: Bacteria
Description: partial 16S ribosomal RNA
Rfam family: Bacterial small subunit ribosomal RNA
Source: RNAcentral
GACGAACGCUGGCGGCGUGCUUAACACAUGCAAGUCGAACGGAAAGGCCCUGCUUUUGUGGGGUGCUCGAGUGGCGAACGGGUGAGUAACACGUGAGUAACCUGCCCCUGACUUAGGGGUAACUUCAGGAAACUGGGGCUAAUACUGGAUAGGAGCUCCUGCUGCAUGGUGGGGGUUGGAAAGAUUCGGCGGUUGGGGAUGUACUCGCGGCUUAUCAGCUUGAUGGUGGGGUAGUGGCUUACCAAGGCUUUGCCGGGUAGCCGGCCUGAGAGGGUGACCGGCCACAUUGGGACUGAGAUACGGCCCAGACUCCAACGGGAGGCAGCAGUGGGGAAUAUUGCACAAUGGGCGGAAGCCUGAUACAGCGACGCCGCGUGCGGGAUGACGGCCUUCGGGUUGUGAACCGCUUUCGCCUGUGACGAAGCGUGAGUGACGGUAAUGGGUAAAGAAGCACCGGCUAACUACGUG